RNAcentral lists this ribosomal RNA (483 nucleotides) under uncultured bacterium. RNAcentral's name for it is "bacterial SSU rRNA". It matches the Rfam family "Bacterial small subunit ribosomal RNA", at positions 791 to 1273 of the family's 1533-position model. The record is from RNAcentral.
UAGUCCACGCCGUAAACGAUGGUCACUAGCUGUUCGGACUUCGGUCUGAGUGGCUAAGCGAAAGUGAUAAGUGACCCACCUGGGGAGUACGUUCGCAAGAAUGAAACUCAAAGGAAUUGACGGGGGCCCGCACAAGCGGAGGAACAUGUGGCUUAAUUCGAUGAUACGCGAGGAACCUUGCCUGGGCUUAAAUGUAGAUUGCAUGACGUGGAAACACGCUUCCCUUCGGGGCUAUCUACAAGGUGCUGCAUGGUUGUCGUCAGCUCGUGCCGUGAGGUGUCGGGUUAAGUCCCAUAACGAGCGCAACCCUUAUCGUUAGUUGCCAUCAGGUGAUGCUGGGGACUCUAGCGAGACUGCCACCGUAAGGUGAGAGGGAAGGUGGGGAUGACGUCAAAUCAGCACGGGCCCUUAUGUCCAGGGGCUACACACGUGUUACAAUGGCAGGUACAAAGGGGCAGCUACACCGCGAGGGUGAUGCUAAUC